This 73-nucleotide transfer RNA is filed under the name Extensimonas vulgaris. RNAcentral describes it as "Comamonadaceae bacterium S4 tRNA". It matches the Rfam family "tRNA". From Rfam's summary of the family: Transfer RNA (tRNA) molecules are approximately 80 nucleotides in length. Their secondary structure includes four short double-helical elements and three loops (D, anti-codon, and T loops). The record is from Rfam by way of RNAcentral. Lineage: Bacteria; Pseudomonadati; Pseudomonadota; Betaproteobacteria; Burkholderiales; Comamonadaceae.
GGCCCGGUAGCUCAGUUGGUAGAGCAGAGGACUGAAAAUCCUUGUGUCGGUGGUUCGAUUCCGCCCCAGGCCA